CCUCGGGGGGCAGCAGUGGGGAAUAUUGCACAAUGGGGGAAACCCUGAUGCAGCGACGCCGCGUGAGCGAUGAAGUAUUUCGGUAUGGAAAGCUCUAUCAGCAGGGAAGAAAAUGACGGUACCUGACUAAGAAGCCCCGGCUAACUACGUGCCAGCAGCCGCGGUAAUACGUAGGGGGCAAGCGUUAUCCGGAUUUACUGGGUGUAAAGGGAGCGUAGACGGCGGUGCAAGCCAGAUGUGAAAGCCCGGGGCUCAACCCCGGGACUGCAUUUGGAACUGGGCUGCUAGAGGGUCGGAGAGGCAGGCAGAAUUCCUAGUGUAGCGGUGAAAUGCGUAGAUAUUAGGAGGAACACCAGUGGCGAAGGCGGCCUGCUGGACGAUGACUGACGUUGAGGCGCGAAAGCGUGGGGAGCAAACAGGAUUAGAUACCCUAGUAGUC
This 439-nucleotide ribosomal RNA is filed under the name uncultured bacterium. Its description in RNAcentral is "partial 16S ribosomal RNA". It matches the Rfam family "Bacterial small subunit ribosomal RNA", at positions 339 to 795 of the family's 1533-position model. The record is from RNAcentral.